This 449-nucleotide ribosomal RNA is filed under the name uncultured bacterium. RNAcentral describes it as "bacterial SSU rRNA". It matches the Rfam family "Bacterial small subunit ribosomal RNA", at positions 335 to 799 of the family's 1533-position model. The record is from RNAcentral.
ACUCCUACGGGAGGCAGCAGUGGGGAAUCUUGGACAAUGGGGGCAACCCUGAUCCAGCCAUGCCGCGUGAGUGAUGAAGGCCUUAGGGUCGUAAAGCUCUUUCGCCUGUGAUGAUAAUGACAGUAGCAGGUAAAGAAACCCCGGCUAACUCCGUGCCAGCAGCCGCGGUAAUACGGAGGGGGGUUAGCGUUGUUCGGAAUUACUGGGCGUAAAGCGCGCGUAGGCGGAUUAGUCAGUUAGAGGUGAAAUCCCAGGGCUCAACCCUGGAACUGCCUUUAAUACUGCUAGUCUUGAGUUCGAGAGAGGUGAGUGGAAUUCCGAGUGUAGAGGUGAAAUUCGUAGAUAUUCGGAGGAACACCAGUGGCGAAGGCGGCUCACUGGCUCGAUACUGACGCUGAGGUGCGAAAGUGUGGGGAGCAAACAGGAUUAGAUACCCUGGUAGGAUAGCG